Molecule: small RNA, 1417 nt
Filed under: Rattus norvegicus (Norway rat)
Lineage: Eukaryota; Metazoa; Chordata; Mammalia; Rodentia; Muridae
Description: uncharacterized LOC102552298
Source: RNAcentral
CCAUCCGUAGGCACUUGCCAAACAAGGAGUUUCUCUUAUUUCCAUCCAUCAGCAUCCUGCCUUUUCUUCAAGGCUCAUCUCAAAAUGCCACUUCUACCCGGAAGUCUUCCUGGGUUCUCCUAACCAGGUUCCCUUUCCCCGGUUUGCCACGCCCACUGUAUGCUGGCUCACGAAUUCCACUACUAGUGCUGGGAAAACACCAGUUCAAAGCAUAUACUCAGAAGCUAUGAAAAAUGUGUUUUCUUCACACCAGGAGCAAGGACCAGGGUCAAGAUAAAAGCCUACUCCUUGAUCAACUUGGACCAUUGCUGGAGAGAUUUUAAUUAAUCGUAUGGAAAAUAUUCAAGGGGCUUAGGAAAGCUGGGGAAGGUGGAGGCAGAUGUAAGGUAGGCAAAGCAGCUGCCGGAAACAAGGCUUUCUUCCUGUAACUGUAUCCCCCGGGACUGCAGGAACAGCCUGAACGGGAGGCUACAGCCCGGUAAUGAAGACGUGAACCGCUGAAAUGCCGUGUCAGAUGGCGGCGGUGACAUCUGAAAGCCGUAAUUUGCUGCUCGGCAUAUUUUUGCUCCAGGUACCAGAGCCUGCACAAACGCUGUCGUGUCUCUCCAAGGCAGCCGCUCUGCUCUCCAGCCUGGCUCUGGGCCAGGUGGUCUUGGCCUUGCCAACAGGUUUCUUUGGUGGAGAGCUCGGGAAGUCUUUGCUUGGAUCGUCUGACCGUGCAGAAACCGGGGAGUAGCGUGAGGUUAAAAGCACACCUUAUUCCCCAGAGGGCGCGUCUCUUGAACCUUCCAUAUCCCCUCGCCCCAAUCUAAGUGACCAGGCUGACUUCUUAAAGUGUGACCUAUAAAGGGUCAAAAUAAUUUUAGCCAUGCCAGGACUGGAGGGCUCCUCAAAAGGAGAGCUUACAAGCAAGGCACUGAAGCUCAGAUCUGUUCAGAGCAACUCGCCCUUCUUUCAAUCUGCGGCUUCUCCACCCCUUUCUUUCUCUCCUGGUUGAUACCUUCCCAGAACCUCAGCCAGGCAGACAAGCAAUUCCUGUGAGUACUGGCCUUCAAAUGAAAGGUUGUCCUUUGAUCCCUCACUGGCUACCUGGCACUUCGGUGGACUCAGUGCCCGAGUUCAAGCCUCUGUGAGUAAGGGGAGAGGGAUCCCCACAAGCACACUCAGGCUAUGCUUAAACCACAGGAACUGGGAGAUUCAAGGUCUGGGCAGAGAGUGAGGCCUUUCACAGCUUAAUCCUCCCCGCUGCGCCUCAGCUCUGCAAGCAGCCUACGUCUGUUGACCCGCUGCUCUGGAUGGCCUUCCUGCCAGGCUCACUGGUGGGCGGAGAGGAUGAAGUGACCGCGAACAACAGGAGUCUCAGCUCCUGGCCUGAGUCCCUGAAAACACAGGCUGCAAAGCAGGUUUAACAGCCUCC